GACGAACGCUGGCGGCGUGCUUAACACAUGCAAGUCGAACGCUGAAGCUCAGCUUUUGUUGGGUGGAUGAGUGGCGAACGGGUGAGUAACACGUGAGUAACCUGCCCCCUUCUUUGGGAUAACGCCCGGAAACGGGUGCUAAUACUGGAUAUUCACUGGUCUUCGCAUGGGGGUUGGUGGAAAGGGUUUUUCUGGUGGGGGAUGGGCUCGCGGCCUAUCAGCUUGUUGGUGGGGUGAUGGCCUACCAAGGCUUUGACGGGUAGCCGGCCUGAGAGGGUGACCGGUCACAUUGGGACUGAGAUACGGCCCAGACUCCUACGGGAGGCAGCAGUGGGGAAUAUUGCACAAUGGGUGCAAGCCUGAUGCAGCGACGCCGCGUGAGGGAUGGAGGCCUUCGGGUUGUGAACCUCUUUCGCUCAUGGUCAAGCCGCAACAAUGGUUGUGGUGAGGGUAGUGGGUAAAGAAGCGCCGGCUAACUACGUG
This 483-nucleotide ribosomal RNA is filed under the name uncultured bacterium. RNAcentral describes it as "partial 16S ribosomal RNA". It matches the Rfam family "Bacterial small subunit ribosomal RNA", at positions 28 to 507 of the family's 1533-position model. The record is from RNAcentral.